UACGUAUGUCGCGAGCGUUAUCCGGAAUUAUUGGGCAUAAAGGGCAUCUAGGCGGCCUUUCAAGUCAGGGGUGAAAACCUGCGGCUCAACCGCAGGCCUGCCUUUGAAACUGAUAGGCUGGAGUACCGGAGAGGUGGACGGAACUGCACGAGUAGAGGUGAAAUUCGUAGAUAUGUGCAGGAAUGCCGAUGAUGAAGAUAGUUCACUGGACGGUAACUGACGCUGAAGUGCGAAAGCCGGGGGAGCGAACAGG
RNAcentral lists this ribosomal RNA (253 nucleotides) under uncultured bacterium. RNAcentral describes it as "partial 16S ribosomal RNA". It matches the Rfam family "Bacterial small subunit ribosomal RNA", at positions 524 to 776 of the family's 1533-position model. RNAcentral also lists the same sequence under 1 other name. The record is from RNAcentral.